Molecule: ribosomal RNA, 80 nt
Filed under: Perkinsus marinus
Lineage: Eukaryota; Perkinsozoa; Perkinsida; Perkinsidae
Description: partial Eukaryotic large subunit ribosomal RNA
Source: RNAcentral
AGUCGGCAAAAUAGGUCCGUAACUUCGGGAAAAGGACUGGCUCUGAGGUUUGGUAUGUGGAACCUGGAUUAAUCGUUGGA